GUGGAUUAGAUACCCUGGUAGUCCACGCUGUAAACGAUGGAUACUAGGUGUGGGGGGUCUGACCCCCUCCGUGCCGCAGUUAACACAAUAAGUAUCCCACCUGGGGAGUACGAUCGCAAGGUUGAAACUCAAAGGAAUUGACGGGGGCCCGCACAAGCGGUGGAGUAUGUGGUUUAAUUCGAAGCAACGCGAAGAACCUUACCAGGGCUUGACAUCCCGGUGACCGGCCUAGAGAUAGGCCUUCCCUUCGGGGCACCGGUGACAGGUGGUGCACGGUUGUCGUCAACU
RNAcentral lists this ribosomal RNA (288 nucleotides) under uncultured bacterium. Its description in RNAcentral is "partial 16S ribosomal RNA". It matches the Rfam family "Bacterial small subunit ribosomal RNA", at positions 773 to 1060 of the family's 1533-position model. The record is from RNAcentral.